RNAcentral lists this ribosomal RNA (253 nucleotides) under uncultured bacterium. RNAcentral's name for it is "partial 16S ribosomal RNA". It matches the Rfam family "Bacterial small subunit ribosomal RNA", at positions 524 to 776 of the family's 1533-position model. The record is from RNAcentral.
UACGUAGGGUGCAAGCGUUGUCCGGAAUUAUUGGGCGUAAAGAGCUCGUAGGCGGUCUGUCGCGUCUGGUGUGAAAAUCCAGGGCUUAACCCUGGACCUGCAUCGGGUACGGGCAGACUAGAGUGCGGUAGGGGAGAUCGGAAUUCCUGGUGUAGCGGUGAAAUGCGCAGAUAUCAGGAGGAACACCGGUGGCGAAGGCGGAUCUCUGGGCCGUAACUGACGCUGAGGAGCGAAAGCUAGGGUAGCAAACGGG